Molecule: long non-coding RNA, 3012 nt
Filed under: Anas platyrhynchos (mallard)
Lineage: Eukaryota; Metazoa; Chordata; Aves; Anseriformes; Anatidae
Description: lncRNA (ENSAPLG00020001864.1)
Source: RNAcentral
AUGUCUGGAAGUGUACUUUCUGACGUGCCUGGCGAUCAUGAAUUGAGACACAUCCCUGCUGAAAAAGCAGAGCUUCAGAAGUUUUUGCAAGUACCUCAAAGUGGAUCUUCUGAGUUGGCUGACAGCACUGAGUCAAGGUCACUGUCUUUUGAAACAGAAGUUCAGAGACCUUUUUUAGCACCUGAAACUGUUCAGUGCUCUGAGUUCCCUGAUGCCCGUGAGUCAACCUCCUUGCCAGUCGCAAAGGACCAGAUGCGGGAGCCUUCUCUGGCUUCUGAUAAUGGGUCUUUGGAGACUCCUCACAGACGUGAAUCAGCAUCCAGCUUUGCUGCACAACCUGAGGAACUUCCAUUGACGUCUGAAGGUGGGUCCUUUGAGGCACCUGAUGGAAGAGUAAAGGCUUCAGAUGCUUCCCUGACAUCCGAGUGUGGUCCUGCUGAGAUCACAGCUGACUGCAUUUCAACUUCAUCUUCUGCAAAAAUGCGGGAAGUUGUCUUGACAACUGUAGGACAAAGCUGCCAGUCUUCUGAAGCUUGUGAGUCCAGUUCAUUUGCUGAAAAAAUUUUAGAUGGUCCAGCAUCUUCACAAGUACUUGGAGUUGGCUGUUUUGGGUCUUCUGAAGUAAGUGAAUCACGAUACCUGUCUGCUGGAAAAUCUGAGGUUACAGAAUCAUUGGUGAUGUCUAAAAGUGAAAUUGCUGUGUGCCAUGAUGGCCAUGAGUCAAAAUACAGUUACUUUGAGAAAACAGAAGGUUCAGAACUAUCAGCGGCUCCUGAACGUGGGUGUUUUAUUUCCCCUGAAGGCUGUGAACUGACAUCCACUGCAGCUGAAAGACUGGAGACGCAGAAGCCUUCUUUUCCACUGGAAAGUGGAUUCGUAAAGUCCACUGAUGCUUUGGGGUCAGUAAGCACACCUACUGAAAAACUGGAGGCCACAGUGCCUUCUCAUACAUCCGAAGGUGGGCUUUUCACAUUGCCCGAUAGUCAUGACUUGAGAGCUGCCCAAACCGAAGAAGCAGAAGCACGGAAGUCAUCUUUGUCCUCUGAAUUGAGGUACAUUGCAUCCUCUGAUGGACACACGUUGAGGUCUGCCUCUGAUAAAGAAACCCAGGUGCAGGAGCCAUCUCUGAUACUGGAAAGUAGAUACUCUGUUUCCUCUGGUGUUCAUGAGUUGACACACACCCCUUUCAAGAAAGCUGAGGUAGAGGAUGCUUCACAGAUACCUGGAAUUGAAUACAGAGUGGGCCUGCAUGGCCCAGAGUUGACAUCAACCCCUACUGAAAAAACAGAGGUGCGGGAACUGUAUCUGGCUAAAGAAAGAUGUUCAGUGUCUGUGGAGAGCCAGGAAUUGCUGUUGCACGCUUCUGAAAAGACUGAAGUGCAAGAGCCUGCUCUGACACGUGAAAAUGAAUGUGCUGUAUCCUGGGACCACCAGGAACUGAGGUCUAGCUCUCCUGAGAAGGUGGAGGUCCAGGAGCCUUCUGCAGUACCUGACAAUCAAUAUGCUUUGUACUCUGAAGAUCAGCAAUUGCAGUCUUCCCUUGCUGAAAAAGCAGUGGUGCAGAAGCAUUCUCUGCUGUCUGAUAAUGAAUAUGCUCUGUCCCCUGAGCACCAUGAGAUGGCUGCCAGCCCUGCUGAAAAAGAGCUGCAAGAACCUUCUCUGACAUCUGACAGUGAAUAUCCCACGUUCCCUGAAGGCCAGGGGGUACAGUCUACCCUUGCUGAAAAAGCAGUGGUGCAGGAGGCUUCCCUAAUACCAGGUAGUGAAUAUGUUGCAUCCCCCGAAAGGCAGGAGUUGUCAUCUGCUAUUGAAAAAACAGAAAUGCAGGAUUGUUCUGUGCUGUCUGAAAAUGAAUACGACGUAUCUCCUGAAGGCCGUGAUUCAAGAUCCAGCCAUGUUGAAAAAGAAGAAAUGGGGGAACACUCUGAAACAUCUGAAAGUGAAAGUUCAAUGUCCUCUGAUAGCCAGGAGUUGCAAUCUACUGUUGUUGGAAAAACAGAGGUGCAGGAGUUGUCUCUGUCUGAAGGUGAAUGUACCAUGUCUCCUGAAGCUCAGGAGCCGCAUUCCAGUCCUGAAAAAGCAGAGGAUAAAGAACUUUCUCUGACGUAUGAAAAUGAUCAUGCUCUGUUCCCUGAAAGAUAUGAACAAAGAUUGACUCAGGCUGAGAAAACAGAGGAUAGGGAUUCUUCUUUGACAUCUGAAAAUGACCAUACGUUGUCUUUUGAGAGCCAGGAGGUAAGAUUCACCUCUGUUCAAAAAGAAGAGGUGCAGGACUUUUCUCUAACACCUGAAAGAGAACACGCAGCAUCCCCUGAUGGCCAGAGGCUGAGAUCCCUCACCGCUGAGAAAGCGGACGGACUUGAACCUUCAAUGUUAAAUGACAGAGCUUCCAUGUCCCCAGAUGUUAGUGACUUGAAAUCCGUUCCCGUUGGAAAGAUGGAUGAUGAAAUGCCUAUACUGCCUGAAAGAGGACGCUCCAUGUCCCCUGAUGGCUGCAGUGUGAAAUCUGUGCCUGGUGAAGAAACAGGGGAUCUUGAGCCCUCCUCAACAUCUGAAUGUAGACGUUCCGCAUCUCCAUAUCAUGACAGCCAUGAGCCGAAGUCUCCCAUGGAGGAAGAGGCUCUAGAGUCCUCUUUGACUUUUGAACAUAGGAGAUCUGUGUCCCCCGAGGGCCACGACCAGAAAUCCCUCAUAGAUGAGGAAAUGGAAGAUCGAGAGGCCUCUUUGACACCUGAACGUAGGCGCUCCACAUCCCCUGAUGAGCAUGAGUCAAGGUCUAGCGGUGGUGAAGAAGCGGAGUAUUCGGAACAACCACUGACAACAGAACGCAGAUCCUCUGUGUCUUCUGAUGAGCAUGAGUCAAGGUCUACAGCUGGGGAAGAAGCAGAGGACGUGGAACCCUCCUUGACAGGUGAACGAAGAGAUUCCACGUCUUCUGAUGAGCGUGAGUCGAGGUCCACCACAGCUGAAGAAGGAGAAGAUCGGGAGACCUCCUUGACAGCUGAAGCGUAG